GUUUAAAUAGCUUAAAAUUUAAAGCAUAAUAUUGAAGAUAUUAUUAUAGGUUAAUACCUUUUAGACA
RNAcentral lists this transfer RNA (67 nucleotides) under Ptilomera tigrina. Its description in RNAcentral is "tRNA-Phe". Lineage: Eukaryota; Metazoa; Arthropoda; Insecta; Hemiptera; Gerridae. The record is from RNAcentral.